AUGUGCCAAACCAAGAAGAAAUGGGCGAUUGUGAAGUUCCAUGCGUUGCAGGUGUAGCGGAUGAUGGGGAUGUGGUUCUCAUGGCUGGGUGGGCAGGUCAGGACCGCUAGGGACAAGGUGAAGAUUCCUGCCACCACCAGGUAGAAAGCAAUGACCCAACACAAGAGGAAGAAGGAGAUGAUGAAGUUCCAUACGUUGCAGAUGUAGCGGAUGUGAAUGUCAUGGCACGGUGGGCAGGUCAGGAGCACCAGGGACAAGGUGAAGACUCCUGCCACCACCAGGUAGAAAGGUGUUUAUUACCACGGACAGACAGCGUGCGUCUUACCUCACACUGCCGCUGCUUCUAGAAGAUUCUGAAACCGCUGUGGUGAAGCACUCUGUUUCUUGACCCUGUGCGACUGUUAAGAACUUCCCACACGCAGGUCAGCACUGCUUAUUACAAACUGCACACAGUGAAAUUGUGAGAUAGAAUCUGUUCUAAAUAUUUAUAAGUACAGAAAUAUGGCAUGUGGGACAUAUAACUACUAAACUAUUCUUUGACUUUUGCCCUUCUUUGCCUCUAUUUAUUAUCAAACAAUGUUGUUUAUGUUUGUUUAAGUAAAGCACAUU
Alosa sapidissima (American shad) is the source of this 609-nucleotide long non-coding RNA. RefSeq lists it as uncharacterized. NCBI's taxonomy places the organism in Eukaryota, Metazoa, Chordata, Actinopteri, Clupeiformes, Clupeidae. The record is from RefSeq and is a predicted model, not a curated record. The transcript is spliced from 3 exons.